AAUAUUGGACAAUGGGGGCAACCCUGAUCCAGCCAUGCCGCGUGUGUGAAGAAGGUAUUCGGAUUGUAAAGCACUUUAAGUAGGGAGGAAGGGCUUUAGGCUAAUACCCUGAAGUUGUGACGUCACCAACAGAAGAAGCACCGGAGAACUCUGUGCAAGCAGCCGCGGUAAUACAGAGGGUGCAAGGGUUAAUCGGAAUUACUGGGCGUAAAGCGCGCGUAGGUGGUUCAGUAAGAUGGGUGUGAAAUCCCCGGGCUUAACCUGGGAACUGCUUUCAUAACUGCUGAGCUAGAGUACGGUAGAGGGUAGUGGAAUUUCCUGUGUAGCGGUGAAAUGCGUAGAUAUAGGAAGGAACACCAGUGGCGAAGGCGACUACCUGGACUGAUACUGACACUGAGGUGCGAAAGCGUGGGGAGCAAACA
RNAcentral lists this ribosomal RNA (422 nucleotides) under uncultured bacterium. RNAcentral's name for it is "partial 16S ribosomal RNA". It matches the Rfam family "Bacterial small subunit ribosomal RNA", at positions 360 to 774 of the family's 1533-position model. The record is from RNAcentral.